This 253-nucleotide ribosomal RNA is filed under the name uncultured bacterium. Its description in RNAcentral is "partial 16S ribosomal RNA". It matches the Rfam family "Bacterial small subunit ribosomal RNA", at positions 524 to 776 of the family's 1533-position model. The record is from RNAcentral.
UACAGAGGUGGCAAGCGUUGUUCGGAAUUACUGGGCGUAAAGCGUGCGCAGGCGGUUAUGCAAGGCAGAUGUGAAAUCCCCGGGCUCAACCUGGGAACUGCAUUUGUGACUGCAUAGCUAGAGUGCGGCAGAGGGAGAUGGAAUUCCGCGUGUAGCAGUGAAAUGCGUAGAUAUGCGGAGGAACACCGAUGGCGAAGGCAAUCUCCUGGGCCUGCACUGACGCUCAUGCACGAAAGCGUGGGGAGCAAACAGG